Xenopus laevis (African clawed frog) is the source of this 775-nucleotide long non-coding RNA. RefSeq lists it as uncharacterized. The record is from RefSeq and is a predicted model, not a curated record. The transcript has 2 exons. NCBI's taxonomy places the organism in Eukaryota, Metazoa, Chordata, Amphibia, Anura, Pipidae.
GCAUGCGGAGUUUAGUAAAUAACCCCCUUGAUGUUCUUGUAACUAUAAUUUAUUAUAAUUUUAUUUUUAACUAUAAGCCAUAUUGUUGCUAGUGUUGCCAAAUAAAUGAUUAUCAGCCAUACGAUUCCUCACUUGCAGGUGGGUGGCACAACACAUUCAAAUACUCCUCCUUAGGCUAGGCUGUCUUGUAAUUAUGUUAUCUCUUGAAGAUGCGCCGGUGAGUGUAAAGACUGCAUUACUUCAGAUAUAACUUUACAGAAAUAUACUCCUUUUUAUUAACAUAACUUUCUGUAUAUUUUAUAGAGGCCCAUUUGUAAUGCUCUGUUUCAUCAUAAGAAAUUAUAAUUGUGAACAGUUGUAUGUAUGUAUACACUAUAAUUAUUUUUUUGCCAUUUAUCUUUUUGCUUUUAGACAGGAUGUCAGGCCAGGCAUGCCUAUGCCAAGGAGGGUGAAAGACUGCUAUGAAAAAGUGGAAAAACAUAAGGAAGCAAACAUAAAAUAGAAGCAACGAAAAAUGAAAGAGGUGGAAAAAGAACAAAGAGUUACAAAGCUUAAUGAGGCUCUGGGAAACUAAAACAUGAGCUUUGCCUUACUUCAAAAAAUGGGCUAUAAAAAGGGCCAAGCACUUGGUAAAAAAGAUAUGGUGAUGGCAUUGUUGAACCAAUCCCUCUGAACAUCAAAACAGGCGAGUUAACUACAUUCGGUCAGCAUGUCAUUUCAUUGAAAGUGUAUUUGUUUAAAAGUCAAUAAAGCAAAACAUUGUCACCAAUAAAAA